UACAGAGGUCUCAAGCGUUGUUCGGAUUCAUUGGGCGUAAAGGGUGCGUAGGCGGCGCGGUAAGUCGGGUGUGAAAUCUCGGAGCUUAACUCCGAAACUGCAUUCGAUACUGCCGUACUUGAGGACUGGAGAGGAGACUGGAAUUUACGGUGUAGCGGUGAAAUGCGUAGAUAUCGUAAGGAAGACCAGUGGCGAAGGCGGGUCUCUGGACAGUUCCUGACGCUGAGGUGCGAAAGCGUGGGGAGCAAACAGG
Molecule: ribosomal RNA, 253 nt
Filed under: uncultured bacterium
Lineage: Bacteria
Description: partial 16S ribosomal RNA
Rfam family: Bacterial small subunit ribosomal RNA
Source: RNAcentral